GAUGAACGCUGGCGGCGUGCCUAAUACAUGCAAGUCGAACGCAUAGCGAAAGGUGCUUGCACCUUUCAAGUGAGUGGCGAACGGGUGAGUAACACGUGGACAACCUGCCUCAAGGCUGGGGAUAACAUUUGGAAACAGAUGCUAAUACCGAAUAAAACUUAGUGUCGCAUGACACAAAGUUAAAAGGCGCUUCGGCGUCACCUAGAGAUGGAUCCGCGGUGCAUUAGUUAGUUGGUGGGGUAAAGGCCUACCAAGACAAUGAUGCAUAGCCGAGUUGAGAGACUGAUCGGCCACAUUGGGACUGAGACACGGCCCAAACUCCUACGGGAGGCUGCAGUAGGGAAUCUUCCACAAUGGGCAAAAGCCUGAUGGAGCAACGCCGCGUGUGUGAUGAAGGCUUUCGGGUCGUAAAGCACUGUUGUAUGGGAAGAACAGCUAGAAUAGGAAAUGAUUUUAGUUUGACGGUACCAUACCAGAAAGGGACGGCUAAAUACGUG
This 497-nucleotide ribosomal RNA is filed under the name uncultured bacterium. RNAcentral's name for it is "partial 16S ribosomal RNA". It matches the Rfam family "Bacterial small subunit ribosomal RNA", at positions 28 to 507 of the family's 1533-position model. The record is from RNAcentral.